UUUAAGAUAGGUUUCUUCUUAACAAAGCCAGGUUUUUUUUCACACUAUAAAGUGAUCAAACAUUUCUAUUUGUAGAUUCAUAAAAGAAAAAUAUGGCUAAAGUUAAUAUAUUUAUUUGUGCUAUGAUUAUCUAUUUUUUCCUAUUUACUUCUAUAACAAACGGCAGUAAGUAAUUUUUAUCAAUGCUUUUAAAUUUGGUGAACAAUAGUAUCUAAGAAUCUUGUUGGGUACCGGUUGUAUCUAUUUAAAAUUCAUUAUAUCAUGUUAUAUUUUUAUAUUAAUUUAUAGGGUUAACUAAGUUUUUGAUCCAUUUAUCUAAUUUUUUUUUUCUAUUCUGUAUAUAAAAAAUUAAACAAGUAUCGAUACUCAAUAUUUCUUGUCACAAUUUUUGGUCUCUACUUUUAAAUUGACUCAUGUAUAUUAUUAGAAAUUUUGAUACUUUUUUUUUGCUGUCAUGUUUAAUUAUUCCGUUAUAAAAAUAUCUUUACAAAAUUUAAUUUCUUUUAUCAAAAGAAGAAUUAAAUAUAAACUUCAAUAUUUGUGGCGCUUUAAAAUUCAUAUUUAAUUCAUCUUUUAUUAUAAUUGUUUAAUUUUUUAUGGAUGAAAUUCUUAUAUAUUAUAAACAAAUAUAAUAGAGACCAAAAGUUAUCAGAGAAAAAUAUUUGAGAAACUAAAAGAAAAUCUUUACAAGAACUGAAUAUUUUUUUUUUGAUAUAUUUAUAAGAAUUAAAAACUUUACUUAACUUAUUAAAUAAUGUUUUUUUAAAGGAAUUAUUAAAAAAAAAUUGACGAAAAAUUAUUAAAAAUUGUUGAUGACGUUCCUUAAUGUUUAAUUAUUAUUAUUUAUUUUUGAUAAGCUCCUUAAUGUUUAUUUGAUAUAUAUCACAGAUAUUGAAGGUUAUUGCCUAGAGGAUAUAGAUUGUCGAAACCAUUUGUGUAUCUCUCCACAAGUUGCAUUUUGCGAUUAUUUUGAACAUGUGUGUGAUUGUCAAGACCCACCCAUGAAGCCAAAAUAUUAGUCCAAAUAAAUAAAUAAAUAAUUACCCUGAAAGUUAAUUGAAAAAUAAUACGGAGUAAUAUGUUAUUUUUACUCAGUUGUUUUUUAUGAUUUAUUUUGUAUUUGUUAUAAAUAUUAUCGGUGGAUGCUAUAUAAUUGGUCCAUUAUAUUUUAACUAUAUAUAGAUAUCAUGUAUCUCUUAUCUCUUAUAUUAUAAGCUUGUAUACACAAGCAAAUCCUAAAUGUAAUUUGUUUUCCCUCCACUUUUAUCUUGCA
This 1273-nucleotide long non-coding RNA is filed under the name Trifolium pratense (red clover). RNAcentral describes it as "long non-coding RNA (TPRA_LNC012221)". Lineage: Eukaryota; Viridiplantae; Streptophyta; Magnoliopsida; Fabales; Fabaceae. The record is from RNAcentral.